UUUUUGUCUGAAGAUGCCCCAUGACUUGUAAUGUUUUAUGCUCCUGUUCGGUGUGGAUUUAUAUCCUAAAUACUCUUUGGGUAGAAUAAACUUAGAUUCAAAGACUUCCUCAGUAAACAUGGGUAGGAAGUAGGAAUGCACUUAUAUAAGCCAUAUAUGGCACCAAAUGGGUUAAACUUCCACAAAAAUAGUUGUUUUUUAAAUGGAGCUUACAGAAAACUUUUUUAAAAACCACACCCUUUUUGACUUUUGAAAUAAGUGCUUGGCCUAUAGUUAAAUAUGAUUUAAAGGGGCACUAUAGUGUCAGGAACACUAAUGUUUAUUUCUGACAGUAUAUAGUUCUAGGUGGUUAGCACCCCUUCCUCGGGUAAAAAAGGUGAUUUGCUCACCUUUUUCCAGCACCGCGCGGGGCUCCUCGAGUGGCCCCACCCCCUGAUCCGCCUCCUUUACUGACAUCAGAAUUGAUGAUCUCAGCCAAUCACAAUGCUUUCCCAUAGGAAAGCAUUGGAUUGGCUUACAUGGUCAACAAUUCUGAUGAUCUGUCAAUGAGAGGGUGUGGGGGCAGAGUCAAAUGCCGCUCUGGACAAUCAGCAUCUCCUAAUAGAGAUGCAUUAAAUCACUGUGCAGCACUGACCCAGGAAGCACCUCUAGUGGCCGUCUGACUGCCACUGGAGGUGUCCCUAGGGAGCCAUGUAAACACUGCCUUUUCUCUGAAAAGGCAGUGUUAACUUAUUAAAGGAAAAUAUGGGUGCUGUCGGUAAAGCGAAAUUAAGCGCAAAUAUUAUUCAGUCAGAGAACAAAAAUCAACACCAGACUGACUAACAGCGUUAUUUUGGGCUAAAAUUUUAAAUUUACUUUGAAUUCUCACUUUAGUCAAUAUCCCUGUAAGUGUUCAAUCUGCAGAAACAGUUUGAUUCCCUUAUGCACUCUUUGUAUAGUUACUAUGAGUGGCCUUUAAAACAUACUGACAUUAAGUGCUACAGGAAGUUCAAUGUUUACAGAUUGGACCGGCUGUUUAAAUAUGGGCAUUUCUUACAUUCCAAAAUUUUUCAACAAUACGUUAGCAGAACCACGCACAGACCUAGCAUGUUAUAUUAAGUUCUUUAAAUUUAUACAUAUUACGGACGCAACAUGAUCUACUGAUGAGCAUUGUCUGGUCAAAAAGCACUAUUACCGGUAAAUAUUUUAUUUAAAAAAGGCUAUACAGAUGUAAUCCUUGCUGCUUUAACCAAACUCAAUGUGCCUGUUUAGGUGGAGAUUACAGUUUUUAAGAUAUUUCUGUAUGAACUGCUAGUUUUUGUGUUUACAAAAAAGUGUUAAUGAGUUAUUUAAUAGAUUCUAUUAUCUAUUAUUAGCUAUAUAUUGAAGAAUGUGCUGUGGGACAUUUAAUCACAUAUCAGAAGGCACGUGUGUUGUUCAUUUUGGUUUGAAAUCGUAUAUAUGGUUGAGCCUGGAAUAGUUACAAAGCAGGGAACCUUAAACUCACUUCUCACCCAUCCAUUGCUUCACUAUUAUCAUGUAUUUUCUACCAACAACCUAAUGAACAUAUUUAAUUAGUAAUAUUAAAUAUAUAUUAUCUGCACUUUUUUUAUGUCGUAGCAAAAUCUAAGUGAAGCUGACAAUUAACGCAGACCUAUCUUCGUAAGUACAGCAUGGCUGCCAAACCCUAGCUCCCCAGCAUUUUGUGAAAUUAUCAAGCAUUCUCAAGAAACUGUACAAAAUUCAGUGAGAGAUACCUUUCACUGGUAAUUUAAAUGCUAAUUCUUCCCAAGAUGAUGGUGUAUGAUGAAUUUUCAUUAAUUUAUCCGUGUUUGUUACAUAGCAAUAUUGGUUAAAAAUGAUCAAAAUUCAUAAACAAAUCUCUGAUACUGCUGUUGAUACAAAUGAAGGCAAAAAAAAACAACAAAUUACUCAGAAGAAGAAAAUCCUUCUUAGUCGUAGAUUGUUUUUUGUCCAAGGAACAAUAAGUAUAAUUCUAGAAUUGAAUAUCUGGAUUCACCACAAAAACACAAGCAGAGUUAAAGGAGCUUGUUUACACCCAAUUAGUUUGUUUUUAAAAAUGCUGAUUUUUCUAAAUUUUACAACAAUUCCCUAGUUAGGAAGGUUAAACUUGAUGGACACGUCUCUUUUCAGCCUAAGUAACUAGUUGAUCCUCUGACAAUUCAAUUAAGAUAUAAAGUUUAUAGAAUAUGUCAAAUUGCGAGUGGACUAGAACCCACUACACACAUUUCAGAACAUCAACGUGACAACUAGUUUUAAUUUUAAAGGGACCCUAUGGACACCCACCUCACUGAAGUGUUGUGGAUGCAGUGUCCCCAUUCCCUUAACUCUGCAAUGUAAAAACUGCAGUGAUAAGAGUGCCUCUAGUGGCUGUCUACCAGACUCUGUGAAAUGACAGCGGACAUCCUCACAAUUUGCAUAAGGACGUCUAAUGUGUGGGAAAAGUCCUAGUGUGUGCAUGUCAUGUGCAUUAAGGUCCCCCUUUCGGCUGAAGUCAGAGGAGGAGGAUCCCGACCCAAGUGUUUAAAAACCUUUUACAUAGCUGGGGGUGGGUGUUGGAACAGGGACACUAUAGUGUUAAGAAUACAGUUUUGUAUUCCUAACACUAUAGUGUUUCUUUAAUGUAGACAUGUGGUUCUUUAUUGGGUGCAGAAUAGUUUAGUUAGAACAGAAACCGUUAAAUCUAUAAAAAGCGUAUUCUACCUUUAAACUAUCAUAAUUGUUUUUACAUUUGUAUUCCUUUAUAGAGCAAGUUUAUUUUACUUUCGUUUUAUUAAUGGUAUGGCUAAUGUGGCAGCGUAGAUGGCUAUGUAUUCCUACAUGGUUGUAGUCUUGGAUCCUUUCGUGGCAUUGUGGUGCACUGUAGCGGUUGCAUUUUAAUGCCUAUCGGUAGCUAACUCUCCCCUCCCUCCCUGUAUUGCAGUGUGUUUUUGUUUUCUGCUUUAGUUUUUAAAUUACUGUCCCUUUUUCCACCACCCCACUCCUUCCCUUCCCAUGCCGGUCCAGAGCACACACAUGCACUUGGAGCCAGCAAUAGAUUCCUAUCACCAGUGACUUCAGGAGGGGAAGCAGAAGUCAUUGUUGGGAUCUUCAUCCGGCGCUGGAUUCAAGGUGAGUUUAAAACCACUUUUUUUUUUUCAGCUUUUAUUGAGAUCAGAGCAGAGGGACCUCCUCCAUAGUUCCAGACAGGGCAUUUUACAGAGAAAAAAGUUCCCCCUCCCCUCCCUGUUUCAAAGGGUUAAAGUUACCCAUCUAGAUAUUAAGCCCAUUAGAUAUAUUAUGUGCUGUUAUUUAUUAGAUUUGAUGUAUUGUGAAUUAUUUUAUUUUAGGUGACUUUCUGUGUUAGGCAGAAAGCAUAGCAGCUAGAUUGCAGUGUUUACUCGGCAGCCUGGAGAGAAGCCAAUGUGGAUAUUAGACAGUAACACAUCUGUUCUCAUAAGGACAGAAAUCAAUGGAAAUAUCAGCUCAUUGGAAAGUUAACUGUACUGUGUAACUCAGAACAGACGUCUGUCUUUUUAUGGUACAAAGAGCUGCAAGUCACGUGAUUUAUUGCCUUUUUCAUUGUUGAAACUGCAAUACAUUAAUCAUACUGCAGAUAUGCCACGCGUUGAUGUAUUUUUUAUUAUUAUUAUUAUUCUUUAGUCUUCUUUUGUGCAAAAUAAUAUAUUGAUAUGGAAUAUAAAAUGUUUUGUAACACUGUAUUUCAAAUUCAAAUAGUAUGAUUGAAUUUGUCAAUUCACUGGAGAUUGUUAAAUAAAAAUGCGUAUCUGAAUUUGUUUUGUGUUUUGUUUUAUUUUCAUAAUGAUAGGGUUAAGCCACGCAAUAUUAAAGAUGCUCAUCAUUUUUUAUUACGUCUGCCAUUUCAAAUGCAGCAAAUUUUGAUGGCCACAGUAAAUAAUUUGUAAUUGUCUGCAGUAUAUAUUAUAACCCAAUGAAUAGUGUUGGUCACGUAUAACCAUGCUUGUGGACGUACC
Pelobates cultripes (western spadefoot toad) is the source of this 3974-nucleotide non-coding RNA. The record is from the annotation of a GenBank genome assembly. Lineage: Eukaryota; Metazoa; Chordata; Amphibia; Anura; Pelobatidae.